UUCGUAGGCGGUGCGGCAAGUCGGGAGUGAAAUCUCUGGGCUUAACUCGGAGGCUGCUUCCGAAACUGCCGUGCUCGAGUGCGGGAGAGGCCAGUGGAAUUGCGGGUGUAGCGGUGAAAUGCGUAGAUAUCUGCAGGAACACCCGUGGCGAAGGCGGCUGGCUGGACCGCAACUGACGCUGAGGAACGAAAGCUAGGGGAGCAAACAGGAUUAGAUACCCUGGUAGUCCUAGCCCUAAACCAUCAGGACUUGGGGUGCAUCCCGUUGGGGGUGCGUCCCGUAGCUAACGCGUUAAGUCCUGCGCCUGGGGAGUACGGUCGCAAGGCUGAA
Molecule: ribosomal RNA, 330 nt
Filed under: uncultured bacterium
Lineage: Bacteria
Description: bacterial SSU rRNA
Rfam family: Bacterial small subunit ribosomal RNA
Source: RNAcentral